UGGGGGAUAUUGCACAAUGGGGGAAACCCUGAUGCAGCGACGCCGCGUGAGUGAAGAAGUAUUUCGGUAUGUAAAGCUCUAUCAGCAGGGAAGAAAUACUGACCGAGAGGUCAGCAGACAGUACCUGAGUAAGAAGCCCCGGCUAACUACGUGCC
RNAcentral lists this ribosomal RNA (155 nucleotides) under uncultured bacterium. RNAcentral describes it as "partial 16S ribosomal RNA". It matches the Rfam family "Bacterial small subunit ribosomal RNA", at positions 355 to 509 of the family's 1533-position model. The record is from RNAcentral.